Molecule: long non-coding RNA, 2315 nt
Organism: Triticum aestivum (bread wheat)
Lineage: Eukaryota; Viridiplantae; Streptophyta; Magnoliopsida; Poales; Poaceae
Exons: 8
Source: RefSeq, a predicted model, not a curated record
GAUACCUUGGUUCUCAAAAACUGAGGGAAAUACUUACGCUACUUUGCUGCAUCAUCCUCUUCUCUUCGGGGAAAUCCAACGCAGUGCUCAAGAGGUAGUAGGGAGCCGCAUUAGUUCGCGGCAGCGAGGCGGGGAUGCGGCGCUGCGCUCCCGGGAUGUAGCAGCGAGGCGUCGAGGCAGCGCUGCGCUCAGGCACCGCAUCAAGCAGCAGUAGCGAGGCGGGAGGCGCACACGGAGAUGAAGGAGGAGAAAAUGGAGAGUCGGCCGGGGCGAGGAGUUCGCUGGCGUUGAAGCCACGGACCACGGUGCUGCAAGCUUUCAGGGGGCGGUGGCCAUGGGGGGGAGGCGGCGCUGAGCUCGGGCCGCAUGCCUCCUUUGUCGCUCCUUCUUUCUUUCUUCCCCAACUCCUCUCUUGCACGUCGUUGUCUUGCCGCCCACACAACAAAGAGAUCGAGGAAGAGGCGGGAGUUGGGAGAUGCGGCCGCGAGGGCGCCGCAUCAGUUCGCGGCAGUGAGGCGGAGAUGCGGUGCUGCGCUCCCGGGAUGCAGUAGCGAGGCAUCGAGGCAGCACUGCGCUCGGGCACCACAUCAAGCGGCAGCAGCGAGGCAGGAGGCGCACACGGAGAUGAAGGAGGAGAAAAUGGAGAGUCGACCGGGGCGAGGAGUUCGUCGGCGUCGAAGCCACAGACCACAGUGCUGCAAUCUUGCAGGGGGCGGUGGCCAUGGCGGGGAGGCAGCGCUGAGCUCGGGCGCCGCAUGCCUCCUUUGCCGCUCCUUCUUUCUUUCUUCCCCAACUCCUCUCUUGCACAUCGUCGUCUUGCCGCCCAUGCAGCAAAUAGAUCGAGGAAGAGGCGAGAGUUGGGUCAAUCAAUCUGUCGCAUGAGGAUGCGGCACUUCCUGUUCCAUCUAGAUCAACGGGCGCAGAGGGAGGUGGAAGAAGAGCCACGACCACCGAGCAAGAGGCUGCCGCCUAGCACGCAUCUUACUGCGGCUAUUUUGUCCAUGAGCUGGUGGAUAAGAGAAGUGCAUCUCUAAAAUUUAGAGUUUUGAACCCAAAGAGACGCAUCUAGACAAUGGUUGCAUGAGUGGUUCCUGUGUCAUAUACGCCAACAUCGUUGGAGAUUUGGGAUCGGAUGCUGCGCCAAGAACGAGGGACCAAGGUGCUGAAUUAACAGCAGGGGCAGAAUGAUUCUUCAGUUGUAAGAUCUAUGUUUCUAGCUUGCACCUUUAACUGGACGGUACUAAUUGGACAUAUAAUUGAUGAUUUAUGCACAACAAGAAAUCGGAGAAAGGUUAUUGGCAUAUCCCCGUCACUGACGAAGAUUUGCUAGAGAGGAAGAGGACCAGAAUGUUUUUCUAUUAUUGGAGACAUACAUAAUACAUAUAGAUAAACUUGGACUCAUUUACAACAGAGAUUUCUUGCCAAAAAUAUUAACUCUCUCCAGAAGUGGGCACUGACAAGGUUAUCCUAGACCACUUGGGGACAAUAUCAUCAAUUUCUUGCAUACUGCAUUGCAAGUUCAAAAAGCCAGUUUCUUAUUAUCUCUGUGUUCACCUAACUGCCAAGAAUCAUAAAAGGAUGCACCUAAUGAGGGAGCUGCACAGAUUUGGAACAACUUCUAGAAUAGGCAUCCAAGCAUUUUGGUUUGGUACCACUAAGCUGCCAGAGCAAGAUAGCUGGGAUGUGAGUCCCUAGGGCAAUGGUAAAUCACAAAUUGGCUGAUCUUUCAUGGGAAGCAUCAGACAAUGCCAAUGUCCAGUAGUAAGACUUGAUUGUGCAGGAUGAAUCAGAAACUAAAGAUGAUGAUCCCAUGGACACAGAAGAAGCUUCCUCUGUCCUUAUUGCUGCACUGCAGUCUUUCAACCAAGCUCUAGUGAAUGACGAUGAAGAAAAAGAUACCGUGACAGAGGUAGAUGUCUUCUUGCGUCCUACCCUAGAUGACAGGGGCUCUCUCGUCAGCAAAAUAGCUACUCUGGAUGCGCAGAUGACGAUCGCAAGAGAUUGUACCUUACGGAUAAGUAAAUGACUCUGAGGUCUACAUGUCAAGUAUAGAAAGAAAAACCUGACGACGACAAGUGUACUGUCGGGAGCUUUGCUGCCACUUCUUUGCCAGCCGGAGUGGCCUGUUUUUAGUGAUGAUCAUGGUGUACAUGCGUGUAUAUGUUGUGUUAUGAUAGACUGUACUACAAAAUUUUCUUGGAAUUGGUAAUUCUGUUUUUGUAUGCUAUGAAGGGCGUAUGUGUAUGCUGGUUCAGUAUACUCUGUUUGUACGUCUGGUUGGCAGGAGAUUAAGCAAUGGGCGAGGUUUCGUAUCU